This 489-nucleotide long non-coding RNA is filed under the name Physcomitrium patens. RNAcentral describes it as "long non-coding RNA (PPAT_LNC012862)". The record is from RNAcentral. Lineage: Eukaryota; Viridiplantae; Streptophyta; Bryopsida; Funariales; Funariaceae.
UAGGAUUAGGAUUUGGUUUAGGAUUUAGAAUUUGGUUAGGAUUUGAUUUAGAAUUUAGAAUUUAGGGUUUAAUUAGGAUUUGAUUUAGGAUUUAGGAUUUGGUUUAAGAUUUAGGAUUUGAUUUAAGAUUUAAGGUUUGAUUAGGAUUUGAUCACAAUUUGAUUUAGGAUUUAGGAUUUGAUUAGGGUUUGAUUUAGGAUUUAGGAUUUGAUUUAAGUUUUAAGGUUUGAUUAGGAUUUGAUCACAAUUUGAUUUAGGAUUUAGGGUUUUAUUUGAGUUUUUUAGGAUUUAAGAUUUAUUUAGUUUUUGGCCUAAAGUUUGAAUGAAGUCCAAUAAGAUUUCAACUAGGAUUAAAUUAAGAUUGAAUUAACAUAUAUUUGAGAUAUAUUUAUAAUUAUUCUAAUAUUUUUUUAAGAUUGUUCAUGAACCUGUGCACCAAUCCAUUAACUUAAGUACCAUUGAAACACCAUAGGUUAUUAAGAUAUACAU